GUACUCGCUUCGGCAACACAUAUACUAAAACUAGAAUGAUACAGAGAAUAUUAGCAUGGCCCCUGAGCAAGAGUGGCAUGCAAAUUUGUGAAGCAUUCUAUUUUUUA
This is a small nuclear RNA of Hemicordylus capensis (graceful crag lizard), 107 nucleotides long. NCBI's taxonomy places the organism in Eukaryota, Metazoa, Chordata, Lepidosauria, Squamata, Cordylidae. The record is from RefSeq and is a predicted model, not a curated record.